GACGAACGUUGGCGGCGUGCUUAAUACAUGCAAGUCAACUGAAGCAGUGGUAGCAAUCUCGCUGUGGAGGUGGCGCACGGGUGAGUAACACGUAGGUAAUCUGCCUUCAGGUCUGGCAUAACUCCGGGAAACCGGGGCUAAUAGCAGAUGAUGCAGCGGCUCGACAUCGAGACAGUUGUUAAAGCUAUGGCGCCUGAAGAUGAGCCUGCGUCUGAUUAGCUAGUUGGCGGGGUAACGGCCCACCAAGGCAACGAUCAGUAGCUGGUCUGAGAGGAUGAUCAGCCACACUGGAACUGAGACACGGUCCAGACUCCUACGGGAGGCAGCAGUAAGGAAUAUUGCUCAAUGGGAGAAAUCCUGAAGCAGCAACGCCGCGUGAGGGACGAAGGGCUUUGGCUUGUAAACCUCUGUAGUGAGAGUAAAAAAUCCCAAUCUUUGGGACAUGAUGGUAUCUCAAAAGUAAGCCCCGGCUAACUACGUG
RNAcentral lists this ribosomal RNA (481 nucleotides) under uncultured bacterium. RNAcentral's name for it is "partial 16S ribosomal RNA". It matches the Rfam family "Bacterial small subunit ribosomal RNA", at positions 28 to 507 of the family's 1533-position model. The record is from RNAcentral.